RNAcentral lists this ribosomal RNA (255 nucleotides) under uncultured bacterium. RNAcentral describes it as "partial 16S ribosomal RNA". It matches the Rfam family "Bacterial small subunit ribosomal RNA", at positions 524 to 776 of the family's 1533-position model. The record is from RNAcentral.
UACGUAGGGGGCAAGCGUUGUCCGGAAUCAUUGGGCGUAAAGCGCGUGUUAGGCGGCCCGAUAAGUCCGCUGUGAAAGUCCAGGGCUCAACCCUGGGAUGCCCGGUGGAUACUGUCGGGCUCGAGUCCGGAAGAGGCGAGUGGAAUUCCUGGUGUAGCGGUGAAAUGCGCAGAUAUCAGGAGGAACACCAAUGGCGAAGGCAGCUCGCUGGGACGUGACUGACGCUGAGACGCGAAAGCGUGGGGAGCAAACAGG